GUCCUCGGGGUGUGAGGGAGGCACGCGACUCUGCGAAGGUCGAGGGCCAGGUUCGACUCCUGGCGAGGGCA
This 71-nucleotide transfer RNA is filed under the name Singulisphaera acidiphila DSM 18658. Its description in RNAcentral is "tRNA-Arg (GCG) (tRNA-Arg-GCG-1-1)". It matches the Rfam family "tRNA". From Rfam's summary of the family: Transfer RNA (tRNA) molecules are approximately 80 nucleotides in length. Their secondary structure includes four short double-helical elements and three loops (D, anti-codon, and T loops). Lineage: Bacteria; Pseudomonadati; Planctomycetota; Planctomycetia; Isosphaerales; Isosphaeraceae. The record is from RNAcentral.